Molecule: ribosomal RNA, 270 nt
Filed under: uncultured soil bacterium
Lineage: Bacteria
Description: partial 16S ribosomal RNA
Rfam family: Bacterial small subunit ribosomal RNA
Source: RNAcentral
AGAAUCAACGCUGGCGGCGUGCCUAACACAUGCAAGUCGAACGCGGUUGCCCCGCAAGGGGUGACUGAGUGGCAAACGGGUGAGUAACGCGUGGGUGACCUACCUUCGAGUGGGGGAUAACGUUUCGAAAGGAACGCUAAUACCGCAUGACAUCCUGCCUUUGGACAGGCGGAGAUCAAAGCCGGGAUCGCAAGACCUGGCGCUUAAAGAGGGGCCCGCGUUCCGAUUAGCUAGUUGGUGGGUAACGGCUCACCAAGGCGACGAUCGGUA